RNAcentral lists this ribosomal RNA (305 nucleotides) under uncultured bacterium. Its description in RNAcentral is "bacterial SSU rRNA". It matches the Rfam family "Bacterial small subunit ribosomal RNA", at positions 338 to 640 of the family's 1533-position model. The record is from RNAcentral.
CCUACGGGGGGCAGCAGUGAGGAAUAUUGGUCAAUGGCCGGAAGGCUGAACCAGCCAAGCCGCGUGAAGGACGAAGGUGCCAAGCAUUGUAAACUUCUUUUGUCAGGGAGCAAUUGGGUCCACGCGUGGGCUUAGCGAGAGUACCUGAAGAAAAAGCAUCGGCUAACUCCGUGCCAGCAGCCGCGGUAAUACGGAGGAUGCGAGCGUUAUCCGGAUUUAUUGGGUUUAAAGGGUGCGUAGGCGGAAUAUCAAGUCAGCGGUAAACAUUCGGGGCUCAACCCCGUCGUGCCGUUGAAACUGAUGUU